AGGAUGAGAAUGCGCUGACAUAGUGAGGAGACGUCUGGGCGUCACAUUCUGCAUAGAGAAGUUUUAGCUGGAACAAGUCCUGGCGCAUUAGAGAAUACUAAGCAGCUUCAUGGAUAUUGGUUAUGAAUCUUACCAAAUUAGCAGGACCUGCCUUUAAGAGAAUUUGGCUGACGGCAUUUAACUGUUGUGGUCGGUAAUUUGCUGACUGGGUAUGAAGGCGACACCAGGAUGAUUAGCAAGAAGCUUGUGAGGGUUGCUAUGGCAUCGAGGGGAGUCAUUCAUAAAAUGAUGGCAGAUGUGAAAGAAGGAUCUAUUUACAAGUAUUGUACCUAAUCACAAGAACUCAAAGAUUUUGAAAAAGACAGAGGUAGAUUUAUAUCUAGAGAUGAAGACAAAA
This is a long non-coding RNA of Hyla sarda, 397 nucleotides long. RefSeq lists it as uncharacterized. The record is from RefSeq and is a predicted model, not a curated record. The transcript has 3 exons. NCBI's taxonomy places the organism in Eukaryota, Metazoa, Chordata, Amphibia, Anura, Hylidae.